AGGGGUAACGCCUGCCCAAUGGAGUAAUCUAAAUGGCCGCGGUAUCUUGACCGUGCAAAGGUAGCAUAAUUAUUUGUCUCUUAAAUAGGGACUCGUAUGAAUGGCAUCACAUUUUCUAACUGUCUCCUUUCCUUACCUUCUAAACUUCUAUUAAAGUGAAGAAGCCUUAAUAAAAAAGAAAGACGAGAAGACCCUGUCGAGCUUAAACUCCUAAAAGAAAAACGUAAAAUUUUGUUCACAAAAAUCCUUAUAGAAGUUUUGGUUGGGGCAACCACGGAGAAACAAAAAUCCUCCAGAAACCUAAAAAGAUAAUAAAUCAUUUAGUACAAAUAAAGAUCCAGAAUACUGAAAACAGAUAUAGUUACCGCAGGGAUAACAGCGUCAUCUCCUUUAAGAGUUCACAUUGACAAGGAAGAUUGCGACCUCAUGUUGGAUUAGGGCCUCCAAAUGGUGCAGC
This 457-nucleotide ribosomal RNA is filed under the name Psolus fabricii (scarlet psolus). RNAcentral describes it as "partial 16S ribosomal RNA". It matches the Rfam family "Bacterial large subunit ribosomal RNA", at positions 1848 to 2559 of the family's 2925-position model. Lineage: Eukaryota; Metazoa; Echinodermata; Holothuroidea; Dendrochirotida; Psolidae. The record is from RNAcentral.